This 103-nucleotide non-coding RNA is filed under the name Bacillus sp. (in: firmicutes). RNAcentral describes it as "Bacillus sp. TPP sequence". It matches the Rfam family "TPP riboswitch aptamer (THI element)". From Rfam's summary of the family: Vitamin B(1) in its active form thiamin pyrophosphate (TPP) is an essential coenzyme that is synthesised by coupling of pyrimidine and thiazole moieties in bacteria. Lineage: Bacteria; Bacillati; Bacillota; Bacilli; Caryophanales; Bacillaceae. The record is from RNAcentral. RNAcentral also lists the same sequence under 1 other name.
CGUAACCACAAGGGGAGCGUAAAGCUGAGAGUGAACAGUUCGCUGUUCUGACCCUUCGAACCUGUUAGAUAAUUCUAGCGCAGGAAUGUGGAUUGAAUAGGUG